CACUGGCAUGUGCUAGCAAGUGACAAAUCAGAAACAACUGACUGUCCCCUGGACUGUCCUAAGCCAAGAUUGAGCCACAAUUGGCACAUGUGAGACACAGGAAGUGAGGUAGAAAAUUGCCUUUGGAGUUCUCGUCACUUCCUGUGAGGAGGCCUGGGCACCAGUUGACCCUGGAAUUCAAGCCUAGAGGAGCGCCUCAGACAGCUUCCUUGAGAUGGUCACGUGGAAACGGGAUCAAAAAGGAGCACAGACUUAACCUGAAUAGUGCCAAAAAGAGCACACAAGUCAAAAAAGAAAGAAACCAAUCCAGAAAGCUCUUCAGUGAAGAAUCUUGCUAACUUCUAAAAUCCAGAGAAUGAACUGUUUGCAAAAAGAUCCCUAAACCCUUAUACUACAUCAGGAAGAUCCAGAAUGAACCUUGGGGUGUGGUUGAUUGAACUGAAGGUUUAUUGAACAUUUAUUUUGAAUGUACACUCUUAUGCCAAAAGGGGACUGCCCCC
Molecule: long non-coding RNA, 500 nt
Filed under: Monodelphis domestica (gray short-tailed opossum)
Lineage: Eukaryota; Metazoa; Chordata; Mammalia; Didelphimorphia; Didelphidae
Description: lncRNA (ENSMODG00000048985.1)
Source: RNAcentral